RNAcentral lists this ribosomal RNA (229 nucleotides) under uncultured eukaryote. RNAcentral's name for it is "partial 18S ribosomal RNA". It matches the Rfam family "Eukaryotic small subunit ribosomal RNA", at positions 1208 to 1456 of the family's 1831-position model. The record is from RNAcentral.
GGGAAACUCACCAGGUCCAGACUGGGUAAGGAUGUACAGAUUGACAGCUCUUUACAGAUUCUCAGGGUGGUGGUGCAUGGCCGUUCUUAGUUGGUGGUGUGAAUUGUCUGCUUAAUUGCGUUAACGAACGAGACCUUGACCUACUAAAUAGUUGCAAGUAUCUUCGGAUAUCUGACAGCUUCUUAGCGGGACUUUGCGCAUUUUAGCGUAAGGAAGUUCGAGGCAAUAA